GGGAUUGUGGCUCAGUGGUAGAGAGAGCGCUUGCCUGGCAUGUGUGAAGCACUGGGUUUGAUUCUCAGCAUCCCA
Molecule: transfer RNA, 75 nt
Filed under: Marmota marmota marmota (Alpine marmot)
Lineage: Eukaryota; Metazoa; Chordata; Mammalia; Rodentia; Sciuridae
Also listed under: 1 other name
Rfam family: tRNA
About the family: Transfer RNA (tRNA) molecules are approximately 80 nucleotides in length.
Source: Rfam by way of RNAcentral